RNAcentral lists this ribosomal RNA (464 nucleotides) under uncultured bacterium. Its description in RNAcentral is "bacterial SSU rRNA". It matches the Rfam family "Bacterial small subunit ribosomal RNA", at positions 28 to 493 of the family's 1533-position model. The record is from RNAcentral.
GAUGAACGCUAGCGGCAGGCUUAACACAUGCAAGUCGAGGGGUAUAGGGAGCUUGCUUCCUAGAGACCGGCGCACGGGUGCGUAACGCGUAUGCAAUCUACCUUUUGCAGAGGGAUAGCCCAGAGAAAUUUGGAUUAAUACCUCAUAGUAUGUGAGGAUGGCAUCAUUUUCACAUUAAAGUCACAACGGCAAAGAUGAGCAUGCGUCCCAUUAGCUAGUUGGUAAGGUAACGGCUUACCAAGGCUACGAUGGGUAGGGGUCCUGAGAGGGAGAUCCCCCACACUGGUACUGAGACACGGACCAGACUCCUACGGGAGGCAGCAGUGAGGAAUAUUGGACAAUGGGCGCAAGCCUGAUCCAGCCAUGCCGCGUGCAGGAUGACGGUCCUAUGGAUUGUAAACUGCUUUUAUACAGGAAGAACACUCCGACGUGUCGGAGCUUGACGGUACUGUAGGAAUAAGGAU